UGAAGCAUUAUAUACUUUCAUUUGCAAGUUUAUUUUUAGGCUUUUCUGUUGAAAUUUUCAUCUGUAUCGUUUAUAAUAUUCGCGGUGAACAUUAAAAUUUAUUUUAAAACAGAAGAACUAAGUAAUUGAUUUCAUUAUGGAGCAUAUAACAGCAGAGACAAAUGGAAAUCUUAUAUCACAGAAAAAGAAUUCUUUAUUUACUGGACAAGUACCAGGAAGAACCUUUCCAAUGCAGCCUUUUCUGAAUGUAUCAAGAACAAACGAACAUCUUUACAUAACGCUUCUGUUUGCCAAGAUUUGGAUUUUAUGUUUCGGAAUAUCCCAUAUAAUACCGCAGAGAUUCGCAGUGUGGUUGCUAAUAACAUUAACUUUCGUCAGAAUUGCAUUUCCAGAACCACAAUUCCUUUUAGACGUGCCCUUCAUCUGGGCAAGUUGGUUUCUGGUUUUGACUUUGAAUUCGGAUUUCAGUCUAGUGGAUCGUCCUUUCCUCAAUUUUCUUUCAGAUCAAAUCAAAAAUUGUUUAAAAAUUUAUCUUCUGUCUAUAAUGCCAACUUCUUUCUCAGUUUACUCUGCAUCAGAAUUUAUUAUCGAUGUUUUUUGUAUAUUUAUUUUUGUAUUCUAUAUCUUUAAGAUCAUUUGCGGAAGGGUGAUUGAAGAGGAUAGGUGCCUCCCAAUAAUUACAAGUAUCAUCCCUCUUAUAGUAUUGGACCUGUUUUUUAAUGCCUAUGGACUUAUUUUUUUUGUGACUAAUUUUUAUAUGCGGUUUCUUGAUUCUGCUAUAAAAGCUAUCGUUGAAGGAAAACCAUUACUUUCCGUUAUUGUGUUAGCUGUCUUUGCUUACUUUAUACAUAACAAUUGCUAUAUUCGUAUUCUGUUUGAGACAAUGCUAUAUAACUGGAAAUAUUGGAUAUUCUUUUAAACUAUACAAAGUUUUCAGAUGCAAAAAUGAAAAAUUAUAAGAAAGAUUCCAUGUAGAGGAUACCUUCACGGAUUUUCAGAUCGCGAAACUCCAAAAAAUAUUUAAAAAAAUCUCUUCUUAAAAUAUGCGUUGAUAUUAAAUGAUUUUUUUCCACUGAUUUAUAAAAGAGAAUUUUUAAUUCUUUACUUGAUUUAAAUAUACCUAGAAACUAACAAUUUUAGAUUCAAUAUAAAAAAAAAUGCUACUUGUGAAAUUGUGCUUACUGGCAAGAGAUAUUGAUAGAAAAAUUUGCAUAUACUUUUCAAAAUUCAUUUUCUUUAUACGGGGUGGAAAAUAAUCAAAAUAUGUUGAAUUAUCUACUUGUCAGAGCACCCAUUUCGCUGCAUUUUUUCCAAGAAAUAUUUCAUUUCUAUUUUAGAAUUAUUAUGCUUUAUUAAGUUUUUCACAUUAUGUAAAUAUUUCGAAUUUAUGAAUUGUAUGAGGAUUUUAAUGACUUUUGUGAUUACAAAUAAACUUUUUUCAACAAU
Molecule: long non-coding RNA, 1446 nt
Organism: Argiope bruennichi
Lineage: Eukaryota; Metazoa; Arthropoda; Arachnida; Araneae; Araneidae
Exons: 2
Source: RefSeq, a predicted model, not a curated record